AGCUCCAAUAGCGUAUAUUAAAGUUGUUGCAGUUAAAAAGCUCGUAGUUGGAUUUCGGGGCGGCCUGGCUGGUCCGUCGCGAGGCGAGUACUGGUCAGCCGCCCUUCCUCUCGAAAGCCCCGACUGCUCUUCACUGCAGUGGUCGGGUAGUUCGGGACGUUUACUUUGAAAAAAUUAGAGUGUUCAAGGCAGGCGUUCGCCUGAAUACAUUAGCAUGGAAUAAUGGAAGAGGACCUCGGUCCUAUUUUGUUGGUUUCUGGGACCGAAGUAAUGAUUAAGAGGGACAGUUGGGGGCAUUCGUAUUUAAUUGUCAGAGGUGAAAUUCUCGGAUUUAUGAAAGACGAACAACUGCGAAAGCAUUUGCCAAGGAUGUUUUCAUUAAUCAAGAACGAAAGUACGC
Molecule: ribosomal RNA, 400 nt
Filed under: phytoplankton environmental sample
Lineage: Eukaryota
Description: partial small subunit ribosomal RNA
Rfam family: Eukaryotic small subunit ribosomal RNA
Source: RNAcentral